UAAACCAAAAAAAUAGAAAGAACCGAAAAUUGAUCCUCCCUCAGAUGAGAGUUAUAUCUUUUGAUCCAUUGUAUAACAAUGUCAAUUAGUGAUGUUAAAGAAAAGAAAUUUUGGUCCAAAGGUUUGAAAAAGUAUACAGAGAGUUCGAGAUAACGACUAAAAUAAAUCAUCCAAAGCAGCAGAAAAUUGGUAUUAUCAGCUUUCUUUAACAAAUCGCGAAUAAAUCAGCUGGAGAAGCUUUUCCAACAACCAAACACAUAAUUCUGGAUCAAAAUGUCAAAUGCACAGUCAAGAUUUUUGGAGUAAAUUAAUUCGAUUGGUGCUACACCACAUGCAAUUUAUCC
RNAcentral lists this long non-coding RNA (344 nucleotides) under Nicotiana benthamiana. RNAcentral's name for it is "long non-coding RNA (NBEN_LNC041308)". Lineage: Eukaryota; Viridiplantae; Streptophyta; Magnoliopsida; Solanales; Solanaceae. The record is from RNAcentral.